AGUGAACGCUGGCGGUAGGCCUAACACAUGCAAGUCGAACGGCAGCACAGUAAGAGCUUGCUCUUACGGGUGGCGAGUGGCGGACGGGUGAGGAAUACAUCGGAAUCUACUUUUUCGUGGGGGAUAACGUAGGGAAACUUACGCCAAUACCGCAUACGACCUACGGGUGAAAGCAGGGGAUCUUCGGACCUUGCGCGAUUGAAUGAGCCGAUGUCGGAUUAGCUAGUUGGCGGGGUAAAGGCCCACCAAGGCGACGAUCCGUAGCUGGUCUGAGAGGAUGAUCAGCCACACUGGAACUGAGACACGGUCCAGACUCCUACGGGAGGCAGCAGUGGGGAAUAUUGGACAAUGGGCGCAAGCCUGAUCCAGCCAUACCGCGUGGGUGAAGAAGGCCUUCGGGUUGUAAAGCCCUUUUGUUGGGAGAGAAAAGCAGCAGGUUAAUACCCCGCUGUUCUGACGGUACCCAAAGAAUAAGCACCGGCUAACUUCGUG
RNAcentral lists this ribosomal RNA (492 nucleotides) under uncultured bacterium. RNAcentral describes it as "partial 16S ribosomal RNA". It matches the Rfam family "Bacterial small subunit ribosomal RNA", at positions 29 to 507 of the family's 1533-position model. The record is from RNAcentral.